Molecule: long non-coding RNA, 626 nt
Filed under: Marmota monax (woodchuck)
Lineage: Eukaryota; Metazoa; Chordata; Mammalia; Rodentia; Sciuridae
Source: RNAcentral
GAAGAUCGAACCCAGGCCGCACACAUGCCAGGCGAGCUCGCUACCACUUGAGCCACAUCCCCAGCCCCCCAAGAAACUCUUAAAGUUAGAAAAAAAUAUAAAAAGUACCUGCAAUAAAUUCCACUCAGUAGUAGAUAGUAUUUUUAAGUUCCUUUGCAUAUUAUUUUACAUUUGCAGGGUGGAUAUCUUGAGAUUGUACUGAUUGUACAAUAGGAAAUCCUGAUUUUUUUUCUCCACCAAUGACAACCAUUUUUCUCCUAUCCUUAAAACUGUACAUAAAUACAUCCCAUAGUAUUUGAUAUUCAAGUACUUUUUGCUUAUUAACUCUGCUAUAAUUCAUUUGAUUGCUCAUUUAUUUUUCAUUUAUCAGCUGUAUAAUGUACCAUAUGUUGUGCUUAUAUUUUUCCAUAGUAAAUCAUUAACUUCUUGUGAGUAGAGAGACCAUUUCUUUUUAAUUUCCCAAAACCUCUGAGUAUACAGUUAAUUAAAUGAAAAGUGGUGAGUAAAUACUUGAAAAUUAGUUUAUCAUAAUUUCCUUUUUCCUCAACUCUUUGCACACCAUUUUUACAUCAAAGUACACCUCCAUUGGAUACAUUGACUGUUGAUCGUCUUUUAAUAGAAAGGUA